This 402-nucleotide ribosomal RNA is filed under the name Hepatozoon canis. RNAcentral describes it as "SSU rRNA". It matches the Rfam family "Eukaryotic small subunit ribosomal RNA", at positions 602 to 1002 of the family's 1831-position model. Lineage: Eukaryota; Apicomplexa; Hepatozoidae. The record is from RNAcentral.
UAUUAAAAUUGUUGCAGUUAAAAAGCUCGUAGUUGAAGUUCUGCUGAAAGUAACCGGUCUGCUUUUAAUAAAAGUGGUAUCUUGGUAUGUAUUUAGCAAUGAUGUCCUUUGAAGUGUUUUUUACUUUAUUGUAAUAAAGCAUAUUCAGGACUUUUACUUUGAGAAAAUUAGAGUGUUUCUAGCAGGCUGACGCUUUGAAUACUGCAGCAUGGAAUAAUAAGAUAGGAUUUUAGUUCUACAUUAUUGGUUUUAAGAGCUAAAUUAAUGAUUGAUAGGGACAGUUGGGGGCAUUUGUAUUUAACUGUCAGAGGUGAAAUUCUUAGAUUUGUUAAAGACAAACUACUGCGAAAGCAUUUGCCAAAGAUGUUUUCAUUAAUCAAGAACGAAAGUUAGGGGAUCGAA